This 340-nucleotide ribosomal RNA is filed under the name Gloeochaete wittrockiana. RNAcentral's name for it is "partial Eukaryotic small subunit ribosomal RNA". It matches the Rfam family "Eukaryotic small subunit ribosomal RNA", at positions 607 to 895 of the family's 1831-position model. Lineage: Eukaryota; Glaucocystophyceae; Gloeochaetales; Gloeochaetaceae. The record is from RNAcentral.
AGAUAAGCUGUCGCAGUUAAAAUAAAGUUGUCUGCCAAAUAUUCUCGCCGGAGUUUGGAGCUGGCCCGGCUGAAUGGAUGUACUCUGUAUUGAGAAAGCUCCUUAAGAGGUAGAGCAGUGCUCUGCUCUCAGCGGGAACUUCCGCGUUCCCCGCCUUCUCUUUACUGGGCCGGGUUGGGGAGCACGGAUCCUUAAUUUACUUUGAGCAAAUUGGAGUGUUACAAGCAGGCGGUUGCUCUGAACAUUUUUAGCACUGGUAUAAUAAACUAGGACCCCGUUCCUAUUUUGAUGGUUUGUAGGGAUGGGGUAAUGGUUAAUAGGAUCAUUUGGGGCCUUGAGU